Molecule: long non-coding RNA, 1007 nt
Filed under: Sus scrofa (pig)
Lineage: Eukaryota; Metazoa; Chordata; Mammalia; Artiodactyla; Suidae
Description: lncRNA (ENSSSCG00005020979.1)
Source: RNAcentral
CCUCUCUCCCUGCCGAGCGCUCUGACCCCCGCCUGCCCGGAGAGCCCGAGGCUCUGCUUUCAGCUUCCCCGGCCUGCCCUCAACGCUCCAGCAGCCCCGCGCCGCCUCUGGCCUGGUCGCCGGCUAAGAGCCCGUCUCUUUCUCCCCCAGAGUCUGAAGGAAGGCCUGACGGUGCACGAUCGCCUGAAGCUCUUUGAGUCCAGGGACUUGCAGCAAGACUAGCUGUUCCCGUUCACCUCGGACGCACACCCUCCCCAGCCUCCGGCGGCUCGCCCAGCGCGGCUUCGCGUCUGUACCUUCGUUGUUACUGUCGUCGUCGUCGUCGUCCUGGUGAACUGUGGAGCGACAGCUGACCUGCAGCCUGGGGUCUCGGCCUGUGAUCGCAGACCAAGACGGACGCUCGCAGAGACUCAUGGGACGAAAAAGACCGUCUGUCUCUCCAAACUUUCUGAAAAGCAGCCUCCAGCUGCCUCGGAGAAGGUUGACGGGAGCCCUGCGUUAAGUCGGGAAGGUACGAGGAUGUCGGAACCAGAUGAGAACCGGCCCCUGGGACGCGUUCUUUCCCCUAAGGGGCCCGUCGGAGCCGAGGCCCCUGCAGCCGCAGCUUUGCCUUCCUGGCGGUCUGAGUCACCUGCCACCACGCUGCAGCACUUGCUGAAAUUCUGACCACAGCCCCAUGAAAAUGAAUUCUGCUCGGACACGGAGCACGAGCAACCCUGCUGUGAGGUGGCGGCGUCGUGGCAGAAGGUGUGGGGGGCAUCAGUCUGGUCUUGCUGCCUCUCUUCUCCACCAGUCCUGCCCACAGCAUCUUCCCCUCCAGACGAAUGCCAGAGCCGGCCCUGCAGCACCUGGGCACGCGGCUUCCGCGGGGUGAAAACGGAGGCACCGUCUUGCUCUGGUUCUAGAUCAGGGUCACACACCGGGUCACCUGGGGAAAGCGCUGGUGUGGGAAGAGGCCCCGGGGUGCGUCCGCAUCUCUGCACAAGCAGAGCUCUCGCUGGCACCCA